This 229-nucleotide unclassified non-coding RNA is filed under the name Hevea brasiliensis (rubber tree). Lineage: Eukaryota; Viridiplantae; Streptophyta; Magnoliopsida; Malpighiales; Euphorbiaceae. The record is from RNAcentral.
GAAUCUGAGCUCUACUUAUUUUCAAACAGAAGAAUCUGAGCUCUACUUAUGAAGUUAUAAGGUAAUUAUCUGAAAAAUAUCAAUUGCUCUUAAGAUUGAGAAAUCACUUAUUAACUAACAUGCCUCACAUUUGGACUUCCACCGGCUGCAUCAGAAAAAGAUAGUUUUUUAACUAAAAUUUGCAUAGGCAUUGCCAGUCAUGCAGAACCACAAAUUGAACUUCAAGUAG